UACGUAGGGUGCAAGCGUUGUCCGGAAUUAUUGGGCGUAAAGAGCUUGUAGGCGGUUUGUCGCGUCUGCUGUGAAAUUUCGGGGCUCAACCCCGAACUUGCAGUGGAUACGGGCAGACUAGAGUUCGGUAGGGGAGACUGGAAUUCCUGGUGUAGCGGUGAAAUGCGCAGAUAUCAGGAGGAACACCGGUGGCGAAGGCGGGUCUCUGGGCCGAAACUGACGCUGAGGAGCGAAAGCGUGGGGAGCAAACAGG
This 253-nucleotide ribosomal RNA is filed under the name uncultured bacterium. Its description in RNAcentral is "partial 16S ribosomal RNA". It matches the Rfam family "Bacterial small subunit ribosomal RNA", at positions 524 to 776 of the family's 1533-position model. The record is from RNAcentral.